UACAGAGGUCCCAAGCGUUGUUCGGAUUCACUGGGCGUAAAGGGUGCGCAGGUGGGUUUGCAAGUUCGAUGUGAAAGCCCCGGGCUUAACCCGGGAAUGGCAUUGGAUACUGCAGAUCUGGAGGAUCGGAGGGGGGACUGGAAUUCUUGGUGUAGCAGUGAAAUGCGUAGAUAUCAAGAGGAACAUCAGUGGCGAAGGCGAGUCCCUGGACAACACCUGACACUGAGGCACGAAAGCUAGGGGAGCAAACAGG
RNAcentral lists this ribosomal RNA (253 nucleotides) under uncultured bacterium. RNAcentral's name for it is "partial 16S ribosomal RNA". It matches the Rfam family "Bacterial small subunit ribosomal RNA", at positions 524 to 776 of the family's 1533-position model. The record is from RNAcentral.